This 1579-nucleotide ribosomal RNA is filed under the name Salmonella enterica subsp. enterica serovar Senftenberg. RNAcentral's name for it is "partial 23S ribosomal RNA". It matches the Rfam family "Bacterial large subunit ribosomal RNA", at positions 1 to 1478 of the family's 2925-position model. Lineage: Bacteria; Pseudomonadati; Pseudomonadota; Gammaproteobacteria; Enterobacterales; Enterobacteriaceae. The record is from RNAcentral.
ACAGUGGACGCGAGCAUCUUUGUGGCUCAAGUUUUUAAGGGCACACGGUGGAUGCCUUGGCACCAGGAACCGAAGAAGGACGUAGGAAUCUGCGAUAAGCCUCGGGGAGUCGAUAACCAGACUGUGAUCCGAGGAUUUCCGAAUGGGGAAACCCGGCUGGAGGCAAGUCCAGUCACUCCCGCCUGAACACAUAGGGCGGGUAGAGGGAACGUGGGGAAGUGAAACAUCUCAGUACCCACAGGAAGAGAAAGCAACCGCGAUUCCGUGAGUAGUGGCGAGCGAAAGCGGAAGAGGCUAAACCUCAGUUGUGUGAUACCUGUCAGGGGUUGCAGCUGGGGGGUCGUGGGACUUUUCGGUCAGUGCUGACACGCUGGCAUGGAGUCAGAAAUGCGCGUUGUAGUCGAAGGGCAUUGAAAGGCCCGGCACAGAGGGUGCUACCCCCGUAGACGAAACGAUGCGCACUCCAGAGAAGUAUCCCAAGUAGCACGGGGCCCGAGAAAUCCCGUGUGAAUCUGGCGGGACCACCCGCUAAGCCUAAAUAUUCCCUGGUGACCGAUAGCGGACAAGUACCGUGAGGGAAAGGUGAAAAGUACCCCGGGAGGGGAGUGAAAUAGAUCCUGAAACCGUGUGCCUACAAUCCGUCGGAGCCUCCUUGUGGGGUGACGGCGUGCCUUUUGAAGAAUGAGCCUGCGAGUUAGUGCUCAGUGGCGAGGUUAACCCGUGUGGGGAAGCCGUAGCGAAAGCGAGUCCGAAUAGGGCGUUUUAGUCGCUGGGUCUAGACCCGAAGCGGAGUGAUCUACCCAUGGCCAGGUUGAAGCGACGGUAAGACGUCGUGGAGGACCGAACCCACUUAGGUUGAAAACUGAGGGGAUGAGCUGUGGGUAGGGGUGAAAGGCCAAUCAAACUCCGUGAUAGCUGGUUCUCCCCGAAAUGCAUUUAGGUGCAGCGUCACGUGUUUCUUACCGGAGGUAGAGCUACUGGAUAGCUGAUGGGCCUCACCAGGUUACUGACGUUAGCCAAACUCCGAAUGCCGGUAAGUGAGAGCGUGGCAGUGAGACUGCGGGGGAUAAGCUCCGUAGUCGAGAGGGAAACAGCCCAGACCACCAUCUAAGGUCCCUAAGCGUGUGCUAAGUGGGAAAGGAUGUGGAGUUGCAUUGACAACCAGGAGGUUGGCUUAGAAGCAGCCACCCUUUAAAGAGUGCGUAAUAGCUCACUGGUCAAGUGAUUCCGCGCCGACAAUGUAGCGGGGCUCAAGCACACCACCGAAGCUGUGGCAUUGACACACUGCUCGGCCAGUUUUCCUGCGGGGUUCUGGUCCAGGCGUGUUGAUGGGUAGGGGAGCGUCGUGUGGCCAGGGAAGCGGCGGAGUGAUCCAGCCGUGGAGGCCACACGAGUGAGAAUGCAGGCAUGAGUAGCGAAUGACGGGCGAGAAACCCGUCCGCCGAAUAACCAAGGGUUCCAGGGUCAAGCUAAUCUGCCCUGGGUAAGUCGGGACCUAAGGCGAGGCCGACAGGCGUAGUCGAUGGACAUCCGGUUGAUAUUCCGGAACCGGCGAAGAACCGCCCAUGACGAACCUAGU